UGUGAUUUGGAGGCAUUUUCAAGGAAAGGAUUAAGAAAGAAUGAUUUUUUAAUAGCAUAAAGACAAGCCAAGAGAGGCAUGUGCUCUCUGUGACCUAAUGAAUAUUCCUUCCUUUCUCUCACAAAGCUCAAAGCCUGUAAUUGGCUCAUCAGGGUACAAAGUGUACACUCGGGCUUGGAUUGUGGGGGACAGAAACUUCCCAUGUGACUCCAUCUCCUCAAUGGGGAUGUCUGUGUUCCCACACUUGUUCAGAAACAUGUUCUGCCAUUCACAGACUCAUAGAGGGGAGCCAUUUAGGCUUGAUGUCAGGAAAAGAGGUAAAAACAACUUCCUAACAAUGAGAAGCAUACAAAAGGGAAAUCGACUACCUGGGGUAUGGUGGAGGCUGAGUGGGAGAGGAAAGGCAAAAUCUUGGCCUCUCUUUUACUGGAGGUCUUCAAUCAGAGGUUAGAGAAGCGGGGAAUGGAGAGGGGCAUGUGGGAAGAAGGAUUUUUUUUAAUAUAUGGACUAGACAAGGUAGCCAUGGAGAAACUUCCUAACCUUAUGAAGCUAUGGUUACAUUAUAGAAUAUAAGAGAUGGUAGGAAUGUAGAAUCUAGAGAACAGUGAAUGUCAGUGUUGAGAGAAGCCUUAGAACAGAGAAUGUCAGAACUCUGUGGAGCCUUAGAACAUAGGAUGUCAGAGUUGGGAGAGUCAUGUUAGAACAGAGAAUAUCAGGGUUGGGGGAUGGACCUUAGAACAGGUAAUAAGAGAACUACAGGGGCCUGAGAACAGAGGAUAUCAAGACAGAAAGAGACCUUUUGGAGGUAACAUUUGGAUGUAACAAUGUGCUCCGGUCAUUGAAGAAGCCAUUUUUUGUAGGAACAAUGACAGAGGAUGACCAUGAACAAGGAACUUUUAUGGAAUUGCAGAAUUUUAGAACUGGAAGAACCCCAGGAGGUCAUACAACAACAAGAAGAAGCAUUUUAAUUAGCACUUUAAAACUUCAGAGCAAGUUACAUAGACUAUCUCAUUUGACACUUCUAAUGACCCUACAAGUUGAAUGCUUGCUGCUGCUUGGUAAGAAAGGAGUUUACAAAAAUGCAAGAGGAAGAUGCAAGAUCAAAAUUCCAUUUGGAAUUCCAAUUACCUGGGACUGGACAGGAAGAGACAGUGGACCCCUUCUCUGUGGCUGUCUUGAGAUACCUGCCUGCUUCCUGCUGUUCACACUACAAAGAGAACCUGGAUUUCUUCUGGAGGUGUCUUUAUUUGGAGCAAAGGAAGACUCUUGUCUGGGCCAAUCACAGCUUCCAAAUUGUCUAGCACUGACCAGGGGGAAGAAGACCAUCCAAGAGAGACUAGAUCAGCUAGAAUAUGCCAAGCUUUUGAGUCUGAGAUGCAAGCCAAGGGGAGUGCAUGGAAUGAAAAAUGAAGGCCUUCAUUUUUGUGAUCACCCUUCCUCUGGGCUUAAGGAAGGCAGCCCACCAUGUUUUUAUCUUCAUCUGCAGAUGAAUUUAAAAUAUGCUGCUUAGGGUAAUGAUGGAUGAGGACCACUUUUCAAUAGCCCAAUUACUCCCCUAGAGGUUGGGGCCUCUUCUGGGAUUGCAGAUAUAUCAUGGAUAGAUUCUGCCAGGGAAGCCCAGGUUUUAUUGUCCCUACCACGCAUGAAGGAGCAGGAGUCAAGCUGCCCAUCAUGUUGCUUCUGAUUCUAAUCCAGAGUGUCAUUUCUAUUUAAAAUGCCAGAGAAAAGGUCGUGAGGAUGACCUCCCUUCUCCUGCUCCGACAACCCCUGCAAUUCCAUCUCCUGAGAGAUACCAGAUAUGAGAUGUCCAUUUUAGAAAUGUUUAGAGAGAAAGAGAAUGACCUUUGCAAGUCAUGAACCUGAGAAGGCAAGACUUCAUUCUGGUCAAUGCUUAGGGCUUUAGCUAGUAGCACAAGGAGAAUUUGUAAUCAAAAUCGACUUCUCCCCCCUUCCCACCCACAAUUCCAUCCUUUCAAGGUUCAUCCUCAGAUAGCCUCAGUAAACUUUAAGAGGAUAUUUUUAAUGUAAGAGAAUUCCUUUCAUUUUCAGGUCAGGUCACUAGGCAGGUUUUUGAGAGCUGGGGCCCCUGCUGUCCCCUCUUCUCUCCAGAGAAUUGUCCCAAAGCAUAAGGAUGACUUUUACUUGAAGAGUUUCUGUAACUUUUCAAAAGACUGCCACAUUCAUGGUCUUUUUGAUCUCACCAAUAGCAUAGAGAAGUAAGGCAGGGCAGGGAUGGUGAAAUAUAGUUGUUGAGCAUUAUGAUAUAGUAGAAGGAAAAGUCUCCUUAUUAGAUACAUUUACUCUUCUUAGAUGUGGAGAGAUAUGAAUGUGCAUCCCACUUCAGCUGCCUGAUGGAUAUGUAAAAUGAAUGUGGCCCUUAUGAUCUCCUAGAAUCCUUAUUCCAAGUCACAGUCAUUGAAGAGUCAGAGCUCCUAGCAAGGAUAUACCUCCUCAGAGUUUGGGGACAAUACUGCGGGCAGAG
This 2482-nucleotide long non-coding RNA is filed under the name Monodelphis domestica (gray short-tailed opossum). Its description in RNAcentral is "lncRNA (ENSMODG00000048087.1)". Lineage: Eukaryota; Metazoa; Chordata; Mammalia; Didelphimorphia; Didelphidae. The record is from RNAcentral.